CGUUCAUGGUAUUUCCGGAACCUGUAGCCGGGCUGACGGUGUGCACGGAGUCCUGAGUGUCCGCCCGAUGGAGCCCUGGGUUAGGUUUCCCCAAGAGUCAGGACCCGGCGUGUCACGUCAGCAUCCUCAUGGAGAACACCGUGUGGGCUGUGCUCUGCGCACCUGCUCGGGCACCAGCCCUGCGUCCGCUCCGGGCUCCACACAGCGAACCUGGGCUGCGGAUGCGUGUCAGCUCAACCCUCUCCUGGGACGUCUGAGCCUUCACUGCAGGGAACAGACAGGCUACCGUGCUCAGGUGCCGCUGGGACAGAGCCCUGAGGAUGCACCGUUUCCCUGCAGCCAGGGUGAAAAAUCAGAGUCUCACUGCUCCGCCCAGUGAUCCGUGUCCACGCUGGGAGAGUCUCUGGCAAGGGCAUCUGGUGAUGCAGUUAGCUGGCUGAGACCAGCUCUCGGGACACCUGCGUCUGCACCCGCGCCCGCUCCGUGACCCCCGCCCCCAGCACACACUCCCGCGGCUCCGGGAGUUCCGCUGGCACUUCCGGGGCAGGAGAG
Long non-coding RNA from Hyaena hyaena (striped hyena), 552 nucleotides. RefSeq lists it as uncharacterized. The record is from RefSeq and is a predicted model, not a curated record. NCBI's taxonomy places the organism in Eukaryota, Metazoa, Chordata, Mammalia, Carnivora, Hyaenidae. The transcript has 3 exons.